ACAAUCUGAAAGUUAUGUUCUUAACUCAAUUUUAUUGAGCAAGCAACUUUAAGAAUGUCAAACUGCAGGUUGACAAUAAACGUACAAGUGAUCAUCUUAUAUCGCUGCAUCUUAAUAAAUCAGAUGACUGGUGAAUGGGCCCAUGUUCAAUACUCAGUAUGCACAUCUUUGAGAUGCCGCAAUUGUUUAUGUCAAUUUAUGAAUUUUUAUUCUAGCAAAUUUCAAGUUUACUAUGAC
RNAcentral lists this long non-coding RNA (237 nucleotides) under Capsicum annuum. RNAcentral describes it as "long non-coding RNA (CANN_LNC001287)". The record is from RNAcentral. Lineage: Eukaryota; Viridiplantae; Streptophyta; Magnoliopsida; Solanales; Solanaceae.